AAGAUUUUAAGUUAAAUAAACUAAUAUCCUUCAAAGAUAUAUAUAAAUGUAAAAUCAUCUAAAUCUUA
RNAcentral lists this transfer RNA (68 nucleotides) under Austropallene cornigera. RNAcentral's name for it is "tRNA-Trp". Lineage: Eukaryota; Metazoa; Arthropoda; Pycnogonida; Pantopoda; Callipallenidae. RNAcentral also lists the same sequence under 1 other name. The record is from RNAcentral.